CUACGUGCCAGCAGCCGCGGUAAUACGUAGGUGGCAAGCGUUAUCCGGAUUUACUGGGUGUAAAGGGCGUGUAGGCGGGAUUGCAAGUCAGAUGUGAAAACCACGGGCUCAACCUGUGGCCUGCAUUUGAAACUGCAGUUCUUGAGUACUGGAGAGGCAGACGGAAUUCCUAGUGUAGCGGUGAAAUGCGUAGAUAUUAGGAGGAACACCAGUGGCGAAGGCGGUCUGCUGGACAGCAACUGACGCUGAGGCGCGAAAGCGUGGGGAGCA
This 270-nucleotide ribosomal RNA is filed under the name uncultured bacterium. Its description in RNAcentral is "partial 16S ribosomal RNA". It matches the Rfam family "Bacterial small subunit ribosomal RNA", at positions 501 to 770 of the family's 1533-position model. The record is from RNAcentral.